UGCUUGCUCCAUUCAGUAGUUAUUAUAUUCAAUCUCAAGUAGGCCAGCAUUUUAGCCACCAGUCAAGAGAUUUCUAUAAAGUUUGCGAGGUGCAGAAAUCCUUGGCAUGUAUUUUAUUGGGUGCUUUAAAUGUACUAUAUAAAGCAUUAGUGUGGAGAAAUUAUAAAAAUUAUAACACUCUAACCAUUUCAUUUUUAAAAUGAGUUAUCUGUAUAUUAAGUGCUGAUGGUGUAAGUUAAAAGCACAUAGGGAGAGCUUAAAUACAUGAGUGGGGCACAAAAUGCAUGCUCAUUUUCCAUUUUUCUCUGGCCACUUUCAGGUAUAAUACAUAUCAUUUAACUGCCUAAUCCAUUAACAAGGAUGGUUUCUCACCUGCAUGUGCCUAAAUGGAAGUCUAGAAAUAUCCCGGUUCAAGACUGCAGCGGGUGAAUAUAUCCAGAAAACUUAUAAGACGAAAACUGCACAAGUUACUGGGUGUCUGAAGAUGUCAGGAGGCAACAUGGAAUUUUUAAUGUGCUGGAAUGUAAAAGAACCACUUGCUGAGAGGAAAAGAACUGGAACUCGGCUAUUCAGAAAUAAACUGUGAAGAAAAGUGACCAAAAGCUAUGACACAAAAGAGGCACUAAUUUCUAAACGACAAAUCCUAAGACGUAUUGCUCUAGACCAAUCCUCUGUCAGAACAAGAUUAAAUGGAUAACCCAUUUGGUCUUUUCCAUCUCUAGCUCCUUUUUAUUUCCACUUCCAUUAUUCUAUGAAUAUACAAGAAAGGGAAAUAUAAUAUUGUUAAAGCUCAGGCAUGAUUUAUUGACUCACUGUAUCUUUAAGAUAGCACAUGUACUUUGUGUUGUUAUAUUUGAUAGCACAUUUUUUCAUGAAUAAUUGUGAAUAGAGUAAACAAACUCAUAAAGCCUGUUUAAAGUGUCAGUGCAUAAGUUACUGCCAGUGGUGUCUUGGGGCUGCAUUAACUUAUACGUGUAAUUUUUCUUCUUUCCUCUUCCUUCUCUCCUCCCCUUUUUAAUUAAUAGAUUUUCUCACUCAUGAGCAUUUAGCAUCGCCUUGUUUGCCUGAUGCAGUUCCCUUUGGGGUUUCGCCUGUGGAUGAGGCAGAAGAACUUGGGGGAAACAGCUUGAUGAAUCACAGUUUGUUGAAGGCCAUUAUGGUAGUAGUGAUAGAGAAAUUGAAUAUUUGCAAAAUGCCAGAGGUGAAGGAAUAGGACACACAUGAUUAAAAUUGCCAUAAAAUCAAAGCUGUCAAAGCAACAAAAGCCAUAAAAAAGAAAUAUUCUGGCAACGUCAGUCUCCCACACAUCCAGGGGAAGCGUGUUGCUGAAGAAGUCCAUUAGGAGUAGAGGAGGAUUUUUUUUCCCAUUGACUAUGAAAGCAUGCACUGAACUAUAAAUGUUCUCUGCCCUAGGAAUUUUAGCUGAGACACCUGGGGACUGCAACCUUAAAACAUCAUUCAGAAUACAGAUCCUCUCAGCACUGUUGGAAAGGGCUGAAGAAAGGGCAACGCAGUGUGCAGAGGUGUGGGGCAAAGGGGCAGGGUAAGGUAGGAAGAGUAAUUGAGGUAGAAGAUGUGAAGGCUGCGGCUGACUUUGGAUGAGGAAUCUUGUAGUGAAAAGUACCUGUGUUGUCCUUUCCUAAAGACAGUAUUACCAAGGAGCUGGAAGUAUGGAAAAAGCCCUCAUUUCCUCCCCAGAAUUCAUGACUACAGGGCAGGUGGAAUCUGCUGAGUGAUACGUGAAAUGUGUAUUAAGAGAACAAAAUGAUCAUUCUUCCCACCUGAAGAGAUCCAGGUACUUUGGUAGAAGUGGUUGUUUAGAAAGAGAGAAAACAAUUUGUUAAGCUCAUAAAGUAAUCUAUCUAGGGAGGUACCAGGAAAGGGCUACAGUGAUUACUCUUGGCCCCCUCAAUGGAAGAUUCCUGAUUUGAAGGUAGACGCUUAGGAUUCAACACAAGUUCUGAAAAUGAGGAGAGGAUUUGAGUGGGAGAUCAGAGAAAACUAAAGGGUUCCAAAAGAACAAAUUUGCAAUUUGAUUUAAACGGAAACAAACCAUCUUAUAGCUACCUGCUUGGAAAAAAAUAUUACACUUCUUGUUUUCUGUCAGGCUUACUGUGGCAUCAUUUAAAAUACUUCUGUAAUCCGUGGGUGCUUGCCAAAUUUAGUUGCACUCAAACAACCUUCUGAUACCAUGAAUCCAUGACCAACUUUUAAUGAGGAGUCCAGUUUUUUAUUUUUAUUUUUAUUUUUUCCAGCAAGCUUUUUCUGAAUCUCCAGUAGCAGCUGUGAUGAGGCAGUGAGACAGUGAAGAGACAAAGCUGGUGCAAU
Molecule: long non-coding RNA, 2328 nt
Organism: Papio anubis (olive baboon)
Lineage: Eukaryota; Metazoa; Chordata; Mammalia; Primates; Cercopithecidae
Source: Ensembl